This is a long non-coding RNA of Uranotaenia lowii, 5400 nucleotides long. RefSeq lists it as uncharacterized. The transcript has 7 exons. The record is from RefSeq and is a predicted model, not a curated record. NCBI's taxonomy places the organism in Eukaryota, Metazoa, Arthropoda, Insecta, Diptera, Culicidae.
UCUUCAGGUUUUUCUCUACGCAAUUUAAAAGGGAUAAUCAACUUGUAGGCAAUGUUUUAGGUAGAUUGCGUGCAAUUUCCUUUUACACUUCAUACAGUUGUUGCAUAACGUUAGGCGUUUAAAACGUACGACCCGAUAGCACCACCCUGUCAGGAACGUUUGCUCAAUCGGGCCGAUUGCAAAACAGACAUGGCGGCACUCGAAUUCUAGCGGUUAGAAUUCGGUCAGUUUUCGGCUCGAUUUCCAUCCGCCUGCUCGAUUGCUCGAAAACAGACGAUAUUUUUCGCAGUGCUGCGAUGAACAAAACGAAACACGAGCAGUUUUCAAUCGCAGCAAUCCGGGUGCGUGAUUGUUGUGAAUUGUGUUGUGGAAUUUGGUCGCAGUUCUGUUUCUGCCUUUUCCGUUGCUGUUCAAAAAUGCUUUGAGCGCUAUUUGGAAGAAGCCAUGUCCGCCAAUCAUUUAAUCAUAAGCAAGAAAACAUCAAAAUGUCCCGGGUGUACAGGAUUUGGUGGAAUGUCAUCCCGGACAACGGAUCCGGAUCCCGGACCCACUCAGAGGUGGCAUCACUUGGAUUACUUUUAAUUAGUUUUUGGUGUGAAACUUCAAAGUGGAAAGCAAGAAAACAUCGACCCAUGCAAACAAAGCUUCCAAAGAAAUGUCCACACGGUACGGAUUCUGGUGGAAUGUCAUCCUGGACAUCGUAUCCGGUUCCAGAUCCCGGAUACGCUUCACUUACUUUUAAUCGGUUUUCGGUGUGAUAGUUCAAAGUGGAAAGCAAGGUGAGUACCGUUGUCACCAUUAUUUACUAUUUACUUAUUAAACUGACCUUUUCCAAGAUUUAAAUUUUAAUUCUUGUGGAUUUUUGGCUCAUUUUUGAGUUAAUGGGAUGAAUCAUCCAAUACGAUAAAAAUCUCAUCAAAAUUACAAAUAAACAAUCUCGACUUUUAGUUUCGUGACAUGGCUCGCACAAAGUAAGUUGUAACAAAACCUACCGGAGGAAAACGCAUCUUGCAAUUGGCUACCAAAGCCACCCGUUCGAAAAGUGGCCCGUUCGUUCAAAAUAUCAUUGAGGGUGUAUAUUUGCUGACACUGAUCCAACCAAAAACAAAACAAUCAUAAAAACAAAAAGAAAACAAAUUUGUGUCUUGGAAAAUUUUCCAGUUUUUAUUUAAUCGUUUAUUGAUCAAACUGUGUAAGAGAUUGUGCCGAGUUUUAUCCCGGUAGUGUCUUUUUGUCGGUGAUAGCUGGAAGUAAAUGAGGACUGCAAGCUUCCAAAAGUUUUACUACGUUAAAACUCAUCACAGAUUAUUCGAAAAAGUCUGUAUCGAUGGAUUGGACGCCGAGAAAACAACCGGAUGCGGGUUAUCGUAGUUCGGAUUCAAGAUUAUUUUUGAUUUAAAAGUAAAAUCAGAAAAACUCGCUUCCUGCUGUGCAAAAUUCUAGUUUAGCUUAUUGUAAGUCUUAGUUUUAUUCAUGCUUUGAUUAAUUGAAUUUCUACGAUCCGGUUACAAUUUACAGGUGGCCACGAAGAAAAACAAGUUCAACCAAUUAUUGCAUACUUUUUUCACUAAAUCGGUUGUUCUUGGAAAACAUGUAUCAAACUAUGGUUUAAAAGUACCAUCGGAAGGGGUCCCGCAAGUUUCUUUGCAGGUUUGUAUCCUUAUUUCUUUAUAACGAAAUAAUAAAUUAAACAUAAAUAAAAUAACAUUUCAUUUCAGGAAUCCAAGAAGUCGGCCCGAGACUUAAAAACUUGAAAUCGAAUUGACUGCUCCAUUCAAGCGUUCUUCGGUUGAAAAAACUCCUUGAGUUCAAUUUAUAACAGCUGCGAGAUUGCACUCGCUACAGUGUUUUAAUCACAAUUGUGAUCUUCGUCUGGGACAUCAUAUGAACGAACAGUUUUGAAGAUUGAAUCAAAUGGAAAUCCCGGAAUCUAGAAUCGCUACCUGUUGGUAAUGAAAUGGCAUUUUCAUGAGACAAGCAUGGCCCAGUGGCAUACAACAUAGAAUUUUCGUUCGAGGUGGCCGCCCUGGUCGUUGACUUUGGGCAUCAUCUGCACAUGCUGCUGUGGGCAAAUGUGUUCCUUUCGUUGGCCAGCCUGGUGAUCAUCGUGCAGUUCCGCUGUCUGAACAACGAGAUACAAAGGAAGUUCAAGAAGCACCGUAACUACCCGUGGGUGCUAGAUCUACGUAAAAUAGCUGUCCCCUAGCGACGGCCGAAGAUCUGAAUUCUGACAACGGUAUGAAUCAUAUGCUGGGAGAAGAUGGAAACCGCCCGGAAGCUGCCCUGUUCGCAUCUGUUUCAUAACUCAUGCCUUAAAUCUUGGUUGGAACGGGACACCAGUUGGCCGACGUGUCAGCUCGGGUUAAGCGUUAACAAUGCCAAUGUGGCCAAUAUUUUGCAGAAUGAAAUCCGCAUCGAUGACCCGGAACCGGUUGACGGGUUGGACCGGGACGAACGGUAAUCCGGUUUCUUGGAAAACGGCGGCUGAAAAUCAUACCUAGCAAGUCAGGAUCAUGGCCCGGCACGUCCAGGAGAUGUUCCCCCGAUUUCCAAUGUCUACGGUCAUUGCCGAUCUGAGCAUAUCGCGAUCGAUCGAAGUCACAAUUGAUUCUGGAAGGGCGCUUCCCAGCCAGCAUUCUCGUCAGCAGCAUUCACCAUCAUCAUCAUCAUCGGUGGCUUCUUCCACGCCCAGCUCCGACAGUUCCUCCGCGCCGCUGUCAAAAGCUUUUCUCAAUAAAAAAGAUAAUUAGAAACUUACAUAGGUAUUUAACUAUUAAAGUUCCUACAAAUAUGUUAGUUUAUUGUUUUGAUAUUCCAUAAUAUUAUGUUUUACAUUUCAGCCAAUCGAUUCCAAUAAUAACGCAUUUUGGGAACAGUUCUGGUGCGAGCAUAGCUCUCCAGUUCAAGAUGUGUUUGCGCUGAUUCCAUCGAAUGAGAUACGGAAAGUUCAGGAUGUUAUGCCAGCGAAUUUGGCAACUUAAUGCUACAAAGCAACAGAACGAUUGGUCCGAGCGGUGGACAACAGUUGCCGUACCCAGGGGAAACAGCAAACGGUGCUAAACUCUAUCCGUUUGCUUAAUCGAACAUUGCCAUGUAUUUUUGAGGAUGUGCAGUGGAAAGAUUUCUUCUGGUCUUCACUUCUGGCUAAUGAUAAAGAAAACGGAGACACUCCAUUGGCGUAUGUUGAAUGCCAUAGGCGACUUAUUGUUCUGUCCCGAAUUUACAUUUGUGGGAUUGUGAAAAUCGGGUCGGAAAAGGUCGAAGAACUCAACUUUAUCGAUAGUUGGGAAUACAUAUGGGAAGCAGGCGUAGGAUUUGCUCAGUCGCCUCCCAGGAAUGGAAACAUGGAUGCUCGUCGUACCGAACUUGAUUGAUGCUAACUUGUUUUAGCGAAACAAUGUAUCGAGCGCGAAUAUGCGUGACAAGCCCAACAAAUGGAUUGUACAUUUUACAAGUGCUGGCAACCGACAUGCAUUUCCUUUGUCCACUUCACUCCUCAACACGGUUUGCGCUUACGAUACAGUUGGCAUGGGAGUGCCCUACAAUCAUCUGCUGUUUACCGACACGUUGGAACCGCUGGUGGAAGUUUGCUUGCAGAACCUCAUUGUGACACUUGAUCAAGACAUCUCGAGCAACACGCCUACCCAAACCACGUUCUAUUCAGAUGACAAGCAAAAAGUAUCCGGGUGAUCCCAUCCGGAACUCACGAUUUCCACUUAAAGGUUUGGCAACCGUCUUCGGAAUGGGUUCAAUCCUGGCGCUCCAAGCUGCCACUGCAGACCAUAAUGCGGUUGCUUCAGGUUCUGGUGCCCCAGGUCGAGAAGAUCUGCAUCGAUAAAGGGCUUACUGAUGAGUCGGAGAUUUUCAAGUUCCUGCAGCAUGGAACAUUAGUUGGAUUGCUGCCGGUACCGCAUCCGAUUUUGAUAAUGAAGUACCAAGCCAACAGUGGCCCGACCCCGAUAGCAAAGUUUGGAACACAGCGGAAGAUUUAAUCCAUCAGGUCCGUAAAUUUUGCUCCGACACAAAUUGGAAGAAACAAAAAGAUCGAGCUCUGUACAGCAACAGCGGAGAUUAGCUGUCGAAAAUGUCUACUGCGUAUUUCAGAUAUCAGUAUUUCAUCUGUUUGUGAAUCGUAUGCGUUUUCGUGUUUUCUGAGUAGCCGUUAUAGAGCAAUCUGAUUUCAACUGACCAGCAGUAUUUUAAACAGCUUUUCGUUAUUCUGAGAUGACCCCACAAGCUGCCCUCCGACUUUGUUUAAAUCGCAACUUGUCCGUGUUCAUUUAGUAUAAUGAAGUUUUGUUUAGUUUUCAAUAUUGGUAAAAAAUAAUUUUGAAUGCUGGGGCUGGAGAAGGUCUAUUUUUUCAUGAUCCAUGUUGAUAAGAUGAAUGGGAGUUGAAACACUUGCCCUCUCUUCUGCAGAACAAUCGCAACAUCCGAUUGACAGGGAAAGUAUCACAAUUUGCCAUUAUAAUAGCUGAUACUUUCAAUAGGGCAUAAUUCUUGUGGCUGGGUAGUUAGUUAGUUGGUUUAGUUUAAUAGAAUUAAAAAAGAGAAAAAGUGUAAAAAGUAUUGCGAUGUUAGGUAAAGGUUAUGGUAUUUGCCUCCCCAAUGCUCUAGUAAGUUUGUAUUUGCGGUUUAUGAAUUUCGUUGGCUUAUUCUUUGAUCAUGCAUUUUACAAGAACUAGAGGCUCAUUGGAUGGGAACGGUCUUAUUGAAGAAUAUGAUAUUUCUUUGGUAAGACGCUUUUUUGCUUUUUUUUUAAUUUAAUCAUUCACUUUUGACAGAUCUUCACAUUUUUCGGUUAGGGAUGGAAAUAGAUAGUAAAAUGUAUGAUAUUGAAGAACAAUAAUGAGUAGGUAGUCCAGCCAGAUAACUGAUUUCGGGCAUUUAAAAAUAGGCACACGGUAUAUUUUAAUAGAACCCCUAAGUAGACUUACUAUAGUUUGUCAGAGAGGCUGACCACAAUAAGUGAUGAGGUUUAAGAAGAACAGCAUUGUGCAUUUCCUGAUCUGUUCCUGUUCUGUAUACGGUAUUUAAGCUAGAUUUAUUAUUAGUUUGGGCUAGGCUUCUUAUAUUAUAUUGAUAGAUAAUAUGAACUUAUAUCCUAUUUUUCUAUUCCUUUUUUCUCUUUUUUCUUUUUUGUAUUCCUUUUAAUGUUACCUUCGGAGGAUGACGAAAGAGCUUCGAGUGGAAAACUCGAACAACCUUCAAGCCAUCUCCUCACAACAUCAGACCCCGAAGAUGGUUUCGCAUGGCGUGGAAGUCCCAAGGAUUUAAUCAACACCUGAAAUUAGACAAAUUGCUCAAAAAGAAGAAGCUUGCGCCAGACAUCGCAAUGUCUUAAGCAGGAGAGGCAGAAAAAGAAUCAAUUAGAAGAAAAAAAUAUGAAAAAUAAAACAA